RNAcentral lists this ribosomal RNA (253 nucleotides) under uncultured bacterium. Its description in RNAcentral is "partial 16S ribosomal RNA". It matches the Rfam family "Bacterial small subunit ribosomal RNA", at positions 524 to 776 of the family's 1533-position model. The record is from RNAcentral.
UACGAAGGGGGCUCGCGUUGCUCGGAAUGACUGGGCGUAAAGGGCGCGUAGGCGGCUUACAUAGUUAGGCGUGAAAUUCCUGUGCUCAACCUGGGGACUGCGUCUAAUACAUGUAGGCUUGAGUGUGAAAGAGGGUCGUGGAAGUUCCAGUGUAGAGGUGAAAUUCGUAGAUAUUGGAAAGAACACGGGUGGCGCAGGCGGCGACCUGGUGCAUUACUGACGCUGAGGCGCGUAAGCGUGGGGAGCAAACAGG